ACCUGACACUAAAGCGCCAUGCCGGAAGCACUGAGUCUGAUACGUCGGAACCAGUCUCCACCGUGUGGUUUGGUCUUGAUUUCCACUGGUACUCUGGGGUCUUGGAUAAGUCUCUGGACCUCGCCUUUGUCAUUUGCGAAGUCGAUAGGUUCCAAUAGAGAUUUUCCCAGAAUCAUUCAACUAAAAAUAGAGAACUUUUUUUUUUUGAGAGGAAGGACGGGGGCGCAGUUAAAGAUGUUAAUGUUAAGUCAUCCCUUCUGUGAUUUCGGGACAUUAUCUUUGCACGCCAUGUGAAGAUGUGCUUGCUUCCUUGUCACCUUCCGCCAUGAUUGUAAGUUUCCUGAGGCCUCCCAGGAAGCAGAAGCCUGUACAGCCCACAGAACCAUGACCUGAUGAAAUCUCUUUUCUUUAUAAAUUACCCAGUCUCAGAUCUUGCUAUGCUUGUCAUUGUGUAAGCAGCAAACUUGCAGUGACCAGUUGGAUUCCACCCCCCUGAUGUUGGUGGUGUGCUCUUGGGGAGAUGUCUUCCAGACAGGCAAAGAAGAGUGACAUCAUCAGAGCAUGGACGACCUCAAAGAUAUUCCAGCUAUGCUCCAGAGAGAGCCAUCCUGAUGGAACCUACUGACCAGGGGGACACAAAAGAAAAGAGGGAGGAGAUGAAAGAAGGUGAGGGUCUCUAUUGCCAGCAGAACUGGACUGUGUGUUUAACUGGAAAGCUGAUGGAGAAUGUAGUUAGGCACAGCUCUCUGGACCCUUCUAGUGAAAUAAAGAACUAGUUAAAUAAGGCAAGACAGAAGAAUGAGGCUGCCAUCUAGAUGUAGUAACAGGUAAUGUUCCAGGGCACAAGGGAGCCAAAGGAAGAGAGUUUCUUCACUUUUUAUUCUCUGCAGUCUUCAUACAUAAUAAUGAUCUCAUUCCUCUAUAUUAGUCAAGAUCUUCCCAUUAUAAGUGACGAAUUAUAACCAGAUUAAACCAAAAAGUAAAAUAAUUUAUUGACUGAUUGAUAUGGUUUGGAUUUGUGUCCCCGCCCAAAUCUCAUGUAGAAUUGUAAUCCCCAGUGCCAGUUGGAGGUGGGUCCUGGUGGGAGGUGAUGGGAUCAUGUGGGUGGUUUCUCAUGGUGUAACGCAAUCCACCUUGGUGCUGUCGUCACGAUGGUGAGUCCUCAUGAGAUCUGGUUGUUUCAAGGUGUGUGGCACCUCACCUCUCUCUCUCUCUUCUCCUGCUCCCACCACGUGAGGCACCUCUCUCCCCCUUUGCCUUUUGCCAUGAUUGGAAACUUCCUGAGGCCUCCCCAGAAGCAGAAGCCCCUAUGCUUCCUGCACAGCCUGCAGAACCAGGAAACAAAAGGAGGGUGUUAGAGGAAAAAGAGGGAAACCCACUGACAGAGAGGAAGGCUGAAGAGAUCCCACCGCUGACUUGGACUAAGGAGAGAGAAGUCAAAGAGUGGUUACCUGGAUGAGGUGGCUGAAUAUGGGCCUGCUCUUGUCACUUUGGAUGUCACAACUAGCCUUGAGAAGAGCUGCUGUUCCAGGAGUCUGUCACAACUAGCCUUGAGAAGAGCUGCUGUUCCAGGAGUCUGUAGCCAAGGACGUACAGCAGUGGAGGCUGACUCAUCGCAUAGCUGAGUGACCAAUUGCUUGGCAUGAGUUUACUUUAAUGGCUGUUUCUGAGUUUGAUCCCUCUCCGGAACCAACCCCUCUGAUGUGUCCUGUUCCAGCAGGAAGAGACAGACCUGGAGGUUCUGUACUUGUGAUUUCUGGUUGUGGAUCCUGAGAACAAGAAGUACUGGGAUCCUAAAGUUCUGACAUUUGCAAAGCAGAUUAAUGACCUACCACAUUCCAGAUCAUUUGGUGAUUUUGUGUGUGCGUGUGGGUGUGUGUGUGUGUGUGCCAAAUUCAAGGUGGUCCCAGCCUUUCUAGUCUUCUCUAACCUUUCUUCUCAGAAGUCGCACCUGUUCUGUCUUUCUAGGAUAUAAUUUUUUUUCUAUUAGCCUGGGUAACACCCCAACCAAUAAAGUUUGCAAUAUCCAAGCC
This 2033-nucleotide long non-coding RNA is filed under the name Homo sapiens (human). Its description in RNAcentral is "non-protein coding lnc-HTR4-1:10". Lineage: Eukaryota; Metazoa; Chordata; Mammalia; Primates; Hominidae. The record is from RNAcentral.